RNAcentral lists this transfer RNA (85 nucleotides) under Felis catus (domestic cat). It matches the Rfam family "tRNA". From Rfam's summary of the family: Transfer RNA (tRNA) molecules are approximately 80 nucleotides in length. The record is from Rfam by way of RNAcentral. Lineage: Eukaryota; Metazoa; Chordata; Mammalia; Carnivora; Felidae.
GCCUGAGUGGCUCAGUCAGUUAAGCAUCUGACUUCAACUCAGGUCACGAUCUCGCGGUUCGUGAGUUCGAGCCCCUCAUCGGGCU